UACAUGUGGGGCAAGCGUUGUUCGGAAUUACUGGGCAUAAAGGGUGCGUAGGCGGCUUGUUAAGUCAGGGGUGAAAGUUUUCGGCCCAACCGGAAAAUUGCCUUUGAUACUGGCGAGCUGGAGUGCGUGAGGGGUGACCGGAACGAGUGGUGUAGCGGUGAAAUGCGUAGAUAUCACUCGGAAGGCCAACGGCGAAGGCAGGUCACUGGUGCGCAACUGACGCUGAGGCACGAAAGCGUGGGUAGCAAACAGG
Molecule: ribosomal RNA, 253 nt
Filed under: uncultured bacterium
Lineage: Bacteria
Description: partial 16S ribosomal RNA
Rfam family: Bacterial small subunit ribosomal RNA
Source: RNAcentral